RNAcentral lists this ribosomal RNA (1343 nucleotides) under uncultured bacterium. RNAcentral describes it as "16S ribosomal RNA". It matches the Rfam family "Bacterial small subunit ribosomal RNA", at positions 28 to 1378 of the family's 1533-position model. The record is from RNAcentral.
GACGAACGCUGGCGGCGUGCUUAACACAUGCAAGUCGAACGGAAAGGCCCUGCUUUUGUGGGGUGCUCGAGUGGCGAACGGGUGAGUAACACGUGAGUAACCUGCCCUUGACUUUGGGAUAACUUCAGGAAACUGGGGCUAAUACCGGAUAGGAGCUCCUGCUGCAUGGUGGGGGUUGGAAAGUUUCGGCGGUUGGGGAUGGACUCGCGGCUUAUCAGCUUGUUGGUGGGGUAGUGGCUUACCGAGGCUUUGACGGGUAGCCGGCCUGAGAGGGUGACCGGCCACAUUGGGACUGAGAUACGGCCCAGACUCCUACGGGAGGCAGCAGUGGGGAAUAUUGCACAAUGGGCGGAAGCCUGAUGCAGCAACGCCGCGUGCGGGAUGACGGCCUUCGGGUUGUAAACCGCUUUCGCCUGUGACGAAGCGUGAGUGACGGUAAUGGGUAAAGAAGCACCGGCUAACUACGUGCCAGCAGCCGCGGUGAUACGUAGGGUGCGAGCGUUGUCCGGAUUUAUUGGGCGUAAAGGGCUCGUAGGUGGUUGAUCGCGUCGGAAGUGUAAUCUUGGGGCUUAACCCUGAGCGUGCUUUCGAUACGGGUUGACUUGAGGAAGGUAGGGGAGAAUGGAAUUCCUGGUGGAGCGGUGGAAUGCGCAGAUAUCAGGAGGAACACCAGUGGCGAAGGCGGUUCUCUGGGCCUUUCCUGACGCUGAGGAGCGAAAGCGUGGGGAGCGAACAGGCUUAGAUACCCUGGUAGUCCACGCUGUAAACGGUGGGUACUAGGUGUGGGGUCCAUUCCACGGGUUCCGUGCCGUAGCUAACGCUUUAAGUACCCCGCCUGGGGAGUACGGCCGCAAGGCUAAAACUCAAAGGAAUUGACGGGGCCCCGCACAAGCGGCGGAGCAUGCGGAUUAAUUCGAUGCAACGCGUAGAACCUUACCUGGGUUUGACAUGGAUCGGGAGUGCUCAGAGAUGGGUGUGCCUCUUUUGGGGUCGGUUCACAGGUGGUGCAUGCCUGUCGUCAGCUCGUGUCGUGAGAUGUUGGGUUAAGUCCCGCAACGAGCGCAACCCUUGUUCACUGUUGCCAGCACGUUAUGGUGGGGACUCAGUGGAGACCGCCGGGGUCAACUCGGAGGAAGGUGGGGAUGACGUCAAGUCCUCAUGCCCCUUAUGUCCAGGGCUUCACGCAUGCUACAAUGGCUGGUACAGAGAGUGGCGAGCCUGUGAGGGUGAGCGAAUCUCGGAAAGCCGGUCUCAGUUCGGAUUGGGGUCUGCAACUCGACCUCAUGAAGUCGGAGUCGCUAGUAAUCGCAGAUCAGCAACGCUGCGGUGAAUACGUUCCCGGG